AUUGAACGCUGGCGGCAGGCCUAACACAUGCAAGUCGAACGAGCGGCGGACGGGUGAGUAAUGUAUGGGGACUGCCCGAUAGAGGGGGAUAACUACUGGAAACGGUAGCUAAUACCGCAUACUAUCGGAUAACCCAUAUGGGAUUCGCUAGUAGGUGGGGUAAAGGCUCACCUAGGCGACGAUCCCUAGCUGGUCUGAGAGGAUGAUCAGCCACACUGGGACUUAGACACGGCCCAGACGCCUACGGAGGCAGCAGUGGGGAAUAUUGCACAAUGGGCGCAAGCCUGAUGCAGCCAUGCCGCGUGUAUGAAGAAGGCCUUAGGGUUGUAAAGUACUUUCAGCGGGGAGGCGUUACCCGCAGAAGAAGCACCGGCUAACUCCGUGCCAGCAGCCGCGGUAAUAC
RNAcentral lists this ribosomal RNA (403 nucleotides) under uncultured bacterium. Its description in RNAcentral is "partial 16S ribosomal RNA". It matches the Rfam family "Bacterial small subunit ribosomal RNA", at positions 30 to 526 of the family's 1533-position model. The record is from RNAcentral.